GGUCCCCAUCCUCCUUGCAUGAUCUCCACCGCUCGGUGACCCCUCCUCCCCAUGUGAUCUCUCCCUCUCGAUCCUCCCUCCUCUCUGCACGAACCCCGCUGUUCCUCUCGAUCUCCGGCACAAACGCCCUCGCCGCUCCUCUCGGUCCCGACGCAAACACCCCUGCCUUAGUCCCCUGCGACCGUCCCCCUCCUCUCCAACAGCCCUCCCUCC
Molecule: long non-coding RNA, 213 nt
Filed under: Elaeis guineensis (African oil palm)
Lineage: Eukaryota; Viridiplantae; Streptophyta; Magnoliopsida; Arecales; Arecaceae
Description: long non-coding RNA (EGUI_LNC011778)
Source: RNAcentral